AGGGAAGGGAGAUAAGGGUGGGGCCGUUUUAUAGGAUUUGGGUAGGUAAAGGAAAAUGACAGUCAAAGGGGGUUUGUUCUCUGACCGGCCAUUUACACUUCUUUUGGGGUGGAAUGUCAUCAGUUAAGGUGGGGCAGGGCAUAUUCACUUCUUUUGUGAUUCUUUAGUUACUUCAGGCCAUCUGGGCGUAUACAUGCAGGUAACGGGAUGUGAUGGCUUGGCUUGGGCUCAGAGGCCUGACAUUCCUGCCUUCUUCAAGCGGGAUUAGGGGCGGUGUGGGAACCUAGAGUGGGAGAGAUUAAGCUGAAGGGAGAUCUUGUGGUAAGGGGUGAUACUGUGGGGUUGUUAGAAGAAACAUUUGUUGUAUAGAAUGAUUGGUGAUGGCCUGGAUACGGUUUUGUAUGAACUGAAAAACUAAAUGGAAUAAGAAGGAGAAAAACUGGUAUAAAAGGUCUAAGAAUUGGGAGGACCUAAGACAUCUGAUUAGAGAGUGCCUAAGGAGAUUCAGCAUAGUCCUGCCAGCAAAGAUUAUUUAUUUACUUCAAGAGUUCAGAGUGGCGGUUUGGGGAUAGCACGAGGAGAUAUCAGCUGUGAUGGCUUGGAUAAACAGUGUAAACCGGCAGUGUAAACAAGAGCAGGGCAUGUAUGAGUAGUUGAGAACGGAGAAGAGGAGUAUGACUAGACAGAAGAUAGUAGGGAUGACAAGUAUUUUUUGGGGCACAGUCUAAGUUGGUCUGGUGUCUGGAAUGAGACUAGGGCCUAAUAAAAAGGAGCAUCUAUACAGGAGCUUAAAUGGGCUGUACUUUGUAGCUUUCCGAGGACAGGCCUGAAAGCUUGGUGAGAUGUGUUUUUAAAAGACCUUCAGUCCAUUCUACCUUUCUUGAAAAUGGAGGACUGUAAGGGAUAUAAAGGUUUCACUGAAUACUAAGAGCCUGAAAAACUGCUUGGCUGAUUUGACUAAUAAAGGCUCAUCUGUUAUCAGACUGUAUUGAGGUGGGAAGGCUAAACUGAGGAAUUAUGUCUGACAGAACAGAAGAAAUGACUGUGGUGGCCUUCUCAGACCCUGUAGGAAAGGCCUCUACCUAUCCAGUAGAUUUCCACGAUGGAAAGGAAAUGGGAGGUUCUGAGAGGUGGGCUAGUGGCUUGUACUAUAGCAUAGCCUGCCUUUGCUGGUGUGUGGCGAUUAGGCCUGGUGGAACUGCCAUCAAUAAAUCAAGUGUGAUCAGGGUGAGGAACAGGAAAGAAGGAAAUGUGGGGAAAUGGGGUGAAUAUCAGGUGGAUCAGAGAGAUACAGUCAUGGGGGUCAGGUGUGGUAUCAGGAAUAAUGUGGGAGGCCGGAUUGAAGUCUGGGCCAGGAACAACGGUAAUUGUGGGAGACUCAACAAAGAGUGAGUACAGCUGAAGGAGCCGGGGAGCAGAAAGUAUAUGCGUUAGGUAUGAGGAAGAAAAUAGAUUUUGGAAGUUAUGAGAACUGUAGAGAGUGAGUUGAGCAUAGUUUGUGAUUUUGAGGGCCUCUAAAAGUAUUAAAUCAGCGGCAGCUGCUGCAUGCAGACGUGAGGGCUAGGCUAAAACAGUAAGGUCAAGUUGUUUGGACAGAAAGGCUACAGGGUGUGGUCCUGGCUCUUGUGUAAGAAUUCUGAACACGCUAACCAUGCCUAGGAAGGAAAGGAGUUGUUGUUUUGUAGAAAAUGCUUGGGUUUGAGAGAUCAGUCGGACACGAUUGGCAGGGAGAGCACAUGUGUUUUUAUGAGAAUUAUGCCGAGAUAGGUAACAGUUGAGGAAGAAAUUUGGGCUUGACUGAUGUAAUGGGGGCUGUCUGUGAAGCUUUGCGGCAGUACAGCCUAGGUAAUUUGCUGAACUUGAUGGGUGUCAGGGUCAGUCCAAGUGAAAGCAAAGAGAGGCUGGGAUUAAGGGUGCAAAGGAAUAGUAAAGAAAGCAUAUUUGAGAUCCAGAACAGAAUAAUGGGUAGUAGAGGGAGGUACUGAGGAUAGGAGAGUUUAUGGGUUUGACACCACUGGGUGGAUAGGCAAAACAAUUUGGUUGAUAAGGCGCAGAUCCUGAACUAACUUGUAAGGCUUGUCUGGUUUUAGGACAGGUAAAAUGGGGGAAUUGUAAGGAGAAUUUAUAGGCUUUAAAAGGCCAUGCUGUAGCAGGCGAGUUAUAACAGGCUUUAAUCUUUUUAAAGUGUGCUGCGGGAUGGUAUAUUGGCAUUGAGUGGGGUAAGGGUGCUUAGGUUUUAAUGAGAUGGUAAGGGGUGCAUGAUCGGUCACCAAGGAGGGAGUAGAGGUAUCUUAUACUUGUGGGUUAAGGUCGGGGGAUACAAGAGGAGGACGCAAAGGACCGUGAUGGUCUAGGGGGCUUCCGAGGCGAUCGGGCAGCGUCAGAGGAAUCCCAGGCUGCGGGCAUUCCUUGGCCCAGUGGCCAGAUUUCCGGCAUGUGUAGCAAGCUCCUUGGGGAGGAACUUGCUGGCUGCUGGAGGAACGCCUGGCUGCUACAGUUCAGGCGUUUGGAAGUUCUUGUGUGCUGGAGAUGUGGCUGGGGUUUGUCUCACAGUGGAGGCAAGGAAUUGCAACUUUUUUCUGUUAUUGCACACCUUGAAGGUGAGGUUAAUUAAGUCCUGUUGUGGGGUUUGAGGGCCAGAUUCCAGUUUUUGGAGUUUUAUUUAAUGUCGGGAGCAGAUUGGGUAAUAAAAUGUGUAUUGAGAAUAAGACGGCCGGAUAAAGAAAAAGGAGCAUUAACCUUGACUCUGCCUUUAGCUCCAGCCACCUUUUUAAGAAUAAAUUGCUGGCAGGUGGGGGAGGGCUAGUCACGGAAUGAAACUGUAAGCCAGACCCGGUGUGAGGAGGGGAGGCGAUAAAAAGAUUAUAGGGUGGAGGAGCGGAGGCUGUGGAAGAAUUGGGACCUAGCUAGGCCUGUCGAGGAGGGGAGAGGUCAGAUGGGUCUGUAGAAAAGGAAGAUUAGAAAGACUCAGUGACGCUUGAGGUUGGUACUGAGGGGACAGGCGGGAGGGAAAGAAGGAAGAUUUGGGACGAGUUGCACUGGGCACAGAGACUAGGAAGGGACUGAUGUGUAAAAGAAUGCCUGGACGUCAGGCACCUCAGACCAUUUGCCCAUUUUACAAGAAUUAUUUAGAUCUUGUAGGAUGGAAAAAUUGAAAGUGCCGUUUUCUGGCUAUUUGGAACCACUGUUGAGUUUGUAUUGGGGUCAAGCGGCAUUGCAGAAGAAAUAAGACGCUUAGAUUUUAGGUCAGGUGAGAAUUGAAGAGGUUUUAAGUUCUUAAGAAUACAGGCUAAGGGAGAAGAAAGAGGAAUGGAAGGUGGAAGCUUGCCCAUAGUGAAGGAGGCAAGCCCAGAGAAAAGAGUAGAGACACGGAGAAGGGGUGGGGGUUUCUUCCCCUCCAGAAAAGCAGAGAAAGGGUUGGGACACGGAAAUAAGGGAUUGGGGCACAGAGAUAAGAGGUCAGGGUGUGGAAAUAAGGGAUUGGGGUGCAGAGAUAAGAGGUUGGGGUGCGGAAAUAAGUGAUUGGGGCGCAGAGAUAAGAGGUUGGGGUGCAGAAAUAAGUGAUUGGGGUGCAGAGAUAAGAGGUUGGGGUGCGGAAAUAAGCAAUUGGGGCACAGAGAUAAGAGGUUGGGGUGCGGAAAUAAGCGAUUGGGGGUUCUUGCCCCCUAGGAAAGCGGGACUUGCCGCUAAGGGUGAAGGAGAAGGGGUUGAGGGGUACUUGCCCCUGCCCCAGGAAAGCGGGACUUGCCGCUAAGGGUGAAGGAGAAGGGGUUGAGGGGUACUUGCCCCUGCCCCAGGAAAGCGGGACUUGCCGCUAAGGGUGAAAGACCAAGGCAGGCGUUCCUGCAUGGUCUGACACCCUUGAAACGUGAGUGUAUCAUCAGAGAGGCGUCCCUGCAAUGAUUAAACACCAAGGGAAGGCUGCCUUCCCAGUCCGUGACCGGCGCCGGAGUUUUGGGUUCACGGAUAAAACAUGUCUCUUUUGUCUCUACCAGAAAAUGAAAGGAAUUGAAAUUAAGAGAAGGGAGAGAUUGAAGAGUGGAAAGGAGAAAGUGGUUGAGGGACAGUGAGAGAGGUUGGAGAAGAGAGUAAGAAGAGGCCGCUUACCUGAUUUAAAAUUGGUGAGAUGUUCCUUGGGCUGGUCGGUCUGAGGACCUGAGGUCAUAGGUGGAUCUUUCUCACGGAGCAAAGAACAGGAGUACAGGGGCUUGAUCUCCCAAGGGAGGUCCCCCGAUCCGAGUCACGGCACCAAAUUUCAUGUGCGU
RNAcentral lists this long non-coding RNA (4265 nucleotides) under Homo sapiens (human). RNAcentral describes it as "ADAPT50". The record is from RNAcentral. Lineage: Eukaryota; Metazoa; Chordata; Mammalia; Primates; Hominidae.